Molecule: long non-coding RNA, 833 nt
Filed under: Crocodylus porosus (Australian saltwater crocodile)
Lineage: Eukaryota; Metazoa; Chordata; Crocodylia; Crocodylidae
Description: lncRNA (ENSCPRG00005001828.1)
Source: RNAcentral
CAGCUCACCACUGUGACCUCACUGCUGGGAAUUUCCCAGUGGGGCUGUUUUUCCUUUUCCCUCACACCCCAAGUUAAAGAAAAAGCCCAAACCUGAAGACAGGACCUUUUCUAGCCAGGAAAACAACUUGUGCAGUAUGAUUGUAUUGCUGGUUUGAAGGACUCCUCCUACCUAUCUCCACUGUCUCCUUAGAAGACCCACUGGACUAUGAAGAAAUGGGAGUUGGGAAGGACUUGUCCCCCUAUAUUACACUACAUCAUAGCCCUGCUCCAUCUGCCAUCAGAUGAAACUCUGCUUCCCAUCAGUAAGCCCCUUGUAGAUUAGGUCCUUCCUAUGUGGUAACAUUAAACCUUGAGCAUGUGGUUCAGAGCUGCCAUGAGAAAGAGAGGGGGAGGUGUAUAUGUGGGCAGGCUUAACGGCUGUCCUGCAGCCUGAAGAUUGAAGAACAUGCGCCUUCAGUUUCCCUUUACUUCUCACCUCGGGGAACUCCCCAGCUUGUCUCAGGCACAUGGCACUACCACUCCCGGACUCACACCCAACACAACCACCCCAAGCUUGUCACUCCUGAGUUCUUGGACAUGAGGCCCAGGAUUGUCCAUUUCCGAGCGUGCCAGCACAGUCCUUUCCAGUUUUUUCCAAAGCCUUAAGAGAGAACAGAUCUUCUCCUUGGAAAAAAAAGAGAGAAGCAAGUCAAGUUGGCCAUCAGUGAAAUACAGUGGGUCACCAAGUCUGCCUGUCCUGACCCUUUUGUCUUGUUACCAGCCCCAAUGUAUGCUUUGUAGCACUUUUCAGACCAUGAAACCCCAAUAAUAAAUCUAUCAUCACUGCCUUCA